This 412-nucleotide ribosomal RNA is filed under the name uncultured bacterium. Its description in RNAcentral is "partial 16S ribosomal RNA". It matches the Rfam family "Bacterial small subunit ribosomal RNA", at positions 360 to 774 of the family's 1533-position model. The record is from RNAcentral.
AAUCUUUCGCACUGGAGGGAACUCUGACGCAGCGACGCCGCGUGAACGAUGAAGGUCUUCGGAUCGUAAGGUACUCUCCUCAGGGAGGAAGGUCACUGAACGUGACUUGACGGUACCUGCGGAGGAAGCCCCGGCUACCUACGUGCCAGCAGCCGCGGUAAUACGUAGGGGGCAAGCGUUGUCCGGAAAUAUUGGGCGUAAAGGGUGCGUAGGCGGCCUUUUAAGUCAGAUGUGAAAGACCACGGCUUAACUGUGGGGCUGCAUUUGAAACUAGAAGGCUUGAGUUUCGGAGAGGGUAGGGGAAUACCCGGUGUAGCGGUGAAAUGCGUAGAUAUCGGGAGGAACACCAGUGGCGAAGGCGACUACCUGGUCGAGAACUGACGCUGAUGCACGAAAGCUAGGGGAGCAAACA